UAUCAACUGCAAAAGCAAUAAGUCAAAAUAAUAAUCUGUGAAUAUUUGGAGAAAAAGAACUCGACUGCAUUGACGGUAUGUUCGAAACGUGAAAGGAUCCCAUCACAGUUUCUUUCUUUUUACGUGCAUACUCCUACCAUUACAAAGAAAUCCCUUUCAAGUGUUCGCGAAAAUUGUAAACAUGACAACAACAAAAAAUGGCCAUCGGCUAGGAAGUUGAAGAAUUUUUUCGCCGUUACUCGACGCAAAGUGCUGCCGAUUCGAAAAUGUCGUCUAGACGAUUAUCACAUUUUCCAUCCAGUUGUGGGUGGUCUUGACGUCGUCUGCUGCACGACUUCUUUCUGAAAAUUAUGUCCUCACUCCAUCAUUUUCAAAUAUUACGUACACAUUUUACCGGCAGAGUUUCUAAAAAGUCAUCAUCAUCUAUAUAGACGAUGAUGAUUCAGUUUUCUUUUUUAGCUACAUCCUCUAGAGAAACUAAAGUUAUGGCAGCGACACCGGGUGCAAUGAAAUACCUCCAUUUUAUUGUCGUCGAGUUUGAAUUAAUUCAACACACCAGAGACGUGCUCAAAAGUUACACGUGCCACUUCAGGUUACUUCCACUAAUUUGAACAACAAACCAAAACAGUAUUUAAAAUAGCAACUAGUUUUGUGAGCCACACGCAUCAACGUUCGAUUUUUGAUAUUUUCGUGAUUCCAAAACAAGGAAGAAAAAAAAAUCUUUCUUUCCCAAACAAGUAGAACUGCUCGGGUAGCAGAUACAAAUCAGCCUUCUUUCUCACGAAACAAAAAGGGGAGUUCUACUGAUGACGAUCGAUAUACAAGCCGUAUAUGGACUUGACCGUAUAUCAAAUAAGCACGCCAUUUGCAUUCGAUCCCGCCAGAAACAUUUAGCGGAAUUGUUGCGACUGUUGCGUGCAUAUCAGUAGGGUGCGGCAACCACAAAACCAAAAAGGACGCAGUGGUUCGUGUUACCCAUUCUUCUUUACACCGUUGAUUUUCUCCGGUUCACCCGCACCGUCGUUUUUUUUCUACAGAGGUGUGAUGAACGACUCUUGUUUUCGGGGUGAGAUUUUCCCAUACACACACACACACCUUCCUGUACUAUAGCACCACCAUCUGUCAAAAAUGCAUAUAUGUAAAUUCCUGGCUGUGUGUGUGUAUAUAUACACACACAUAGAAGUAAGUAUAUCCCGAGUAAGGUUUUUCCUUCAUAUCAUUUCCUUGUUCUAACUGUAUGAUGACCAGACGAAUACAUGUGAAUCGGUGUGUUA
Long non-coding RNA from Daphnia magna, 1274 nucleotides. RefSeq lists it as uncharacterized. The transcript has 5 exons. The record is from RefSeq and is a predicted model, not a curated record. Lineage: Eukaryota; Metazoa; Arthropoda; Branchiopoda; Diplostraca; Daphniidae.